CCAGCCAGCAGUGGUAACCUGCUGGGGUUCCCUUCCACGCUGUGGGAGGUUUGUUCUUUCGCUCUUUGCAAUAAUUCUUGCUGCUGCUCACUCCUUGGGUCCACACUGCCUUUAUGAGCUGUAACACUCACUGUGAAGGUCUGCAGCUUCAGUCCUGAAGCCAGCGAGACCACGAGCCCACCAGAAGGAACGAACGACUGCAGACGUGCCGCCUUAAGAGCUAUAACACUCACCUCGAAGAUCCGCAGCUUCACUCCUGAGCCAGCGAGACCAAGAACCCACCAGAAGGAAGAAACUGCCAACACAUCCGAACAUCAGAAGGAACGAGCUCCAGACACGCAGCCUUUAAGAACUGUAACACUCACUGCGAGGGUUCGCGGCUUCAUUCUUGAAGUCAGUGAGACCAAGAACCCACCAAUUCCGGACCCACUGGCAUUACAGGCGUGAAUCACUGUGUCUGGCCAAAAAGGAUCUAAUCUUAUAGCAGUGGAAUGAGGGGGAAGCCCAGCAAGGCCCAUCUGUUUGGAGUCUUCCUGGACUUCUGGGGCCUGACCCUUUUGGAACGGGGGUUUUAAGAUUCAUAAUCGACAAAGAGAGAAUAGGAGGAAAAAGAAACUCGCUGAGGCUGUUCCAAACAGGAAACCGACUAUGCUGUCUAUUAAUCUCCAUUCUCC
RNAcentral lists this long non-coding RNA (674 nucleotides) under Homo sapiens (human). Its description in RNAcentral is "HSALNT0323768". The record is from RNAcentral. Lineage: Eukaryota; Metazoa; Chordata; Mammalia; Primates; Hominidae.